CUUUCAUCUCCGGUGGGAAUAAAAAUAGUGGCAUAAGCCGCACACCUUUCCGACGGAAUAUCCUGCUGUACCCCUACACUGUUGUAGUCAAAGCGUUAUAAAAA
This 104-nucleotide non-coding RNA is filed under the name Yersinia ruckeri. RNAcentral's name for it is "Yersinia sRNA 100". It matches the Rfam family "Yersinia sRNA 100". From Rfam's summary of the family: 5' located ORF: qor, 3' located ORF: pspG. Decreased expression in the crp mutant (in the stationary phase), suggesting CRP regulon is a regulator of the sRNA. CRP binding in a cAMP dependent manner was confirmed. Lineage: Bacteria; Pseudomonadati; Pseudomonadota; Gammaproteobacteria; Enterobacterales; Yersiniaceae. The record is from Rfam by way of RNAcentral.